RNAcentral lists this long non-coding RNA (415 nucleotides) under Panax ginseng (ginseng). RNAcentral describes it as "long non-coding RNA (PGIN_LNC016344)". Lineage: Eukaryota; Viridiplantae; Streptophyta; Magnoliopsida; Apiales; Araliaceae. The record is from RNAcentral.
AAUGAUGUGACAAGAAAAUGCUAUCCAACAGUUACAGAACAAAGCCAACAGACAAGCUAUAAAUAAUAAUAACAAUAAUUUUUAAUUAAGACCAUUUGCAAGUAAAUUGAACAACAAUAGCAAGAAAAGCCCUAACAACAACAACAAGAGCACAACAGAUGGGGUGAUAAGUCCCCCAAACCUUUCAGCCACAGCAGACCAAAGCAUCUGAAGCUUCUUCAGCACACCAGGUGUAGCCACACUACCAGCAACAACCUGCCAAGACUACAUAUGAUAUACGUGACAAACCCAAACACCAGCAGCAAUAACAAUUAGAACGACAUUCCAGGAGAAGCCAAAACAUUUAGUAGAAGAAAAUCAUUCUCCCACACCAUAAAACAACAUAAUAUAGUAGCUUCUCUCUAGGCAAGGGCGG